This 497-nucleotide ribosomal RNA is filed under the name uncultured bacterium. RNAcentral's name for it is "partial 16S ribosomal RNA". It matches the Rfam family "Bacterial small subunit ribosomal RNA", at positions 28 to 507 of the family's 1533-position model. The record is from RNAcentral.
GAUGAACGCUGGCGGCGUGCCUAAUACAUGCAAGUCGAGCGAACAGACGAGGAGCUUGCUCCUCUGACGUUAGCGGCGGACGGGUGAGUAACACGUGGAUAACCUACCUAUAAGACUGGGAUAACUUCGGGAAACCGGAGCUAAUACCGGAUAAUAUAUUGAACCGCAUGGUUCAAUAGUGAAAGACGGUUUUGCUGUCACUUAUAGAUGGAUCCGCGCCGGAUUAGCUAGUUGGUAAGGUAACGGCUUACCAAGGCAACGAUGCGUAGCCGACCUGAGAGGGUGAUCGGCCACACUGGAACUGAGACACGGUCCAGACUCCUACGGGAGGCAGCAGUAGGGAAUCUUCCGCAAUGGGCGAAAGCCUGACGGAGCAACGCCGCGUGAGUGAUGAAGGUCUUCGGAUCGUAAAACUCUGUUAUUAGGGAAGAACAAAUGUGUAAGUAACUAUGCACGUCUUGACGGUACCUAAUCAGAAAGCAACGGCUAACUACGUG